This is a long non-coding RNA of Neopsephotus bourkii (Bourke's parrot), 973 nucleotides long. RefSeq lists it as uncharacterized. NCBI's taxonomy places the organism in Eukaryota, Metazoa, Chordata, Aves, Psittaciformes, Psittacidae. The transcript is spliced from 2 exons. The record is from RefSeq and is a predicted model, not a curated record.
CCUUUCUGCAUGAUGUGAAUGCCAUGUAACAUCAGAUAUGUGAUGAAAACUCGAUAUUCCCAUGCUGAAAAUGAUAAAAGCCCCCUAAAAUCCAGCUCAGACCUUCAUAUUGUAACAGUGUUGCUGGCUUGCUGAUUCUUUGGGGUAGCCCAGAGCUGCUUCUGUGAACCCUGUAGGAUGCUGCUGGCCAGAGGGAGCCAUGUGGGGAGCAAGGGGUGGGCAGGAGCUGAAAUACAGGUGUUGCUGGUAGAAAGGAGAGCUGGCUUGUUUACUUGCAGGGAGGAAAGUACGGAAAUAGUUUAAGGGGGGUGGGAUGGACACCUGACUGGGUUUUCCAAAGAGAGGUGAGGCCUAAGAGGGAUGUCUUGCCUGCUGAUGGUGAUGCCCUUUAGAAUGCAUUGGUAGGUGUCUGUCAAUAGAAGCAGGAUUUUGAUUACCUGAGACAGGGGCAAGCAAGAGGUGUUGCAGACAACCCAUGAGAAGUCGUUCAAGCCACUGACUGGAAAUAGAUGCAACAAAAUUAGGAGCUCAAGAUAUACCAGGAGGAGGCAGGGAAUGACAUUUAACAUAAGGCCUUCUCUGGUUCCCAUUGCAAAUGUGCUCAUCCUGUUGCAUCGGAGUGCCAAAAACCAGUCUGGUUUUUGGUCUGGGAAUGGAUCAAGAUACGUGGCGGUAUCUACAUGCACACUGCAAAAACAACGCUAAUAUGUAGUUUAGGAUUUAUCAUUUGUUAUUAGCUUUUUACUGCAGAGACUUUUAUCAAGGUGCUUUUAUAAAGAAUAAAUAUUAUUUUAACCAUAUCGCUCCUGGAAAAAGAGAUUUGGAGUUUCAUAGUAACCUAAUAAUGGAUCUUGAAAACGACUCACAGCCCCUGAUUUGCAAUUCAUCCUUCUACUCUGGAAAAAUUAGCAUUACAAAAAGCUGUCAAUAUGAUAAAAUAAACCAGGUUUGCUCUGAAGAAUGCCUUACCUGA